Molecule: ribosomal RNA, 880 nt
Filed under: uncultured bacterium
Lineage: Bacteria
Description: bacterial SSU rRNA
Rfam family: Bacterial small subunit ribosomal RNA
Source: RNAcentral
AGAGUUUGAUCAUGGCUCAGGAUGAACGCUGGCGGCGUGCCUAACACAUGCAAGUCGAGCGAUUUACUUCGGUAAAGAGCGGCGGACGGGUGAGUAACGCGUGGGUAACCUGCCCUGUACACACGGAUAACAUACCGAAAGGUAUGCUAAUACGAGAUAAUAUGCUUUUAUCGCAUGGUAGAAGUAUCAAAGCUCCGGCGGUACAGGAUGGACCCGCGUCUGAUUAGCUAGUUGGUAAGGUAACGGCUUACCAAGGCGACGAUCAGUAGCCGACCUGAGAGGGUGAUCGGCCACAUUGGAACUGAGACACGGUCCAAACUCCUACGGGAGGCAGCAGUGGGGAAUAUUGCACAAUGGGCGAAAGCCUGAUGCAGCAACGCCGCGUGAGCGAUGAAGGCCUUCGGGUCGUAAAGCUCUGUCCUCAAGGAAGAUAAUGACGGUACUUGAGGAGGAAGCCCCGGCUAACUACGUGCCAGCAGCCGCGGUAAUACGUAGGGGGCUAGCGUUAUCCGGAAUUACUGGGCGUAAAGGGUGCGUAGGUGGUUUCUUAAGUCAGAGGUGAAAGGCUACGGCUCAACCGUAGUAAGCCUUUGAAACUGAGAAACUUGAGUGCAGGAGAGGAGAGUAGAAUUCCUAGUGUAGCGGUGAAAUGCGUAGAUAUUAGGAGGAACACCAGUUGCGAAGGCGGCUCUCUGGACUGUAACUGACACUGAGGCACGAAAGCGUGGGGAGCAAACAGGAUUAGAUACCCUGGUAGUCCACGCCGUAAACGAUGAGUACUAGCUGUCGGAGGUUACCCCCUUCGGUGGCGCAGCUAACGCAUUAAGUACUCCGCCCUGGGAAGUACGCUCGCAAGAGUGAAACUCAAAGGAAUUGACGG